UCGGUGGGGUUGGACCAGAUCUCCAGCCGCCCGUCAGCAUCGUCCUGGCUCCACUUCCCCGGAGCCAGGCGGAUGAGGAUCGGAGCGGAGGGGGAUCUGGCCCAAUCCCUACACCACG
Molecule: non-coding RNA, 118 nt
Organism: Arthrobacter rhombi
Lineage: Bacteria; Bacillati; Actinomycetota; Actinomycetes; Micrococcales; Micrococcaceae
Source: Rfam